Molecule: non-coding RNA, 1158 nt
Organism: Pelobates cultripes (western spadefoot toad)
Lineage: Eukaryota; Metazoa; Chordata; Amphibia; Anura; Pelobatidae
Source: the annotation of a GenBank genome assembly
UUUUAUUUAUUUUUUUUGUCCACAAAAUUAAAAUACCAAAAAAUAUCAUAUAUGAGAAAUAUCCAUAUCCAUUCAUAUAUAAAAAACAUUUUUCAAAAUAUUUGUUAAUUUUAACCCCUUAAGGCCUUAAUUGUCUCAAGCAAAAAACAACCUAGAAUUUGUGAUCUGGGUUAGUUCCACUGUAAUUUAAGGUUUUUUUUCUUUGAUUGCCUGUAAACAUUUUAUAUGUUGAAUUUUAAAGGACAAAAUGGGCUUUCUUUUAAUAACCUAUAAGUAUACCUACCACAACAUAUAGUGUUAAUAAAAUGUAAAAAAUUGGUAAAAUACACAUUUUUACCUUUUUGCUUAUCAUGCUACUACUACUACUAAUUUUUACACAUCCAAUGCAACUAAAUAAACAGAACGAAAAAUAGAUUCACAUUUCAGUCCUGAUUGUUAAAUGCCUAAUAGGUCUAGGAUCUCAAUACAUUUUUGGCUGUUAAUGCUAACCCUAUACCAACCACUUCCUAAUGCUAUACCAACCAUACCCCUUGUAUAUGUUCGCUAAUCAUAUACCCACCAUAGCUUACCCUUAACCCUACACUAGCGGUAGCCCUAACAUUUGUCGCAGCUCCCUUAGGAGGUUGGCGAUGUCUUGUUUGGUGGCAGGAGCAUGGGGGUCCUGUUCAGUCAGUGCCUCCAGGAAGGUCGUGGGAGCAUCGGCGUUGCCGGUUGCGUUUAGGGUGGCUGGCGGUUUUGCUUUGUGCAUGCCAGUGUCUAGCUGGGCCGCCAUCUUGGGUGUCAUCGGGCACUGUAACAUCGCCUCUAUAUCAUGGGAGUCCUUGCUGGGGCCAGCCUGAGGUUUUUGGGUCCUGCGCCCCAUGAUGUCUGUGUGUUUGGAGGCCUGUCAGGUAACCAGGGGGAGCUAUAGAACUCUAACAGUUCGUCUUCCAAGCCCCGUGCAUCUGCCCGCGUGGUCUUGUACCCAGGGUAGGCCCCGGAUUUGCGCCCGGUUUUCCCACCCGAUUUCGGGUACAGGAAAGGCAUGUGCCUAUUGCUCACCCUUUCUGGGGUAUGGUGAGUGCCUUCCGGGGUUCUGAUGCCCGCGGGGUAUCCCUUAUUUUGGCGUUUGUUGCGGUCGGCGCCUGGAGCUCCCAGCAGAUGCAUCCGUUCGCCGUG